This 949-nucleotide long non-coding RNA is filed under the name Helianthus annuus (common sunflower). Lineage: Eukaryota; Viridiplantae; Streptophyta; Magnoliopsida; Asterales; Asteraceae. The record is from RNAcentral.
UUUACAAGCGGCUUCUCAAACACGCAUUAUUCAAAAACCUUAAUUAUCAUCUUCUUCAAUUCUCUGGCGAUUUCAUACUUCUUCAAUUGUCUCAAACACAAAAACUCUAAUCCAGUUUUCAUCUUCUUUCCUAUUUGAAACCCUAACGGAGAUGCCCCCGAUCCAGCCGAUCGAUCUUCAUCUGAUAAGUUUUUGACGGAUCGGGUUUUUCAAUUCCCCGCAAGUAGAGAAAAAGAUCAAGGGCACCAAAAGUGACUAAAAAUCCCAUAAUCUCAUUGCCAUUUGCUAAUUUGGGGGAUAAAUUAGCACACAUACGAGCUUCAACAUCAUGAUCAUCAAUCCAGGAGGAGAAGAGGGUUUGCUUCUGGUUGGAGUCAUUUGUGAAUUGAAAAAACGAGAGUGAUCUGAUCUGAUCUGAUAUGGAAGGAAUCAGAGGACAGACACCGUGUUAGUGGUCUCCUUUUUUGUUACCUAAUGUUGGUAAUCUACUCACCACACUCCAUCCUACAAAACGCUUCCAGGAAAAACCUGCAACAAUUGGAAAUCUUGAAAAAAAAGUCUAAAAGAAACAAGUGAAGCAGGUAACAUAAUACGGGACCAACUGAAAGAGGUGAGUGUUGCAGAUACGAGGGACCAACUGAAAGAGGUGCGUGCUACAACAGAUAUGGAGUUGUUAAAGAAUCCAAAUUCGUAGGUGGAUGAAGCUAAAAAAAGAUAUGGACAUAUGGAGGAAGAGAGACCUCUUAGAGGUGUGGUAUGAAGAGAAACCACGACCAUCAGAUGUACGUUAUGACCUGUGAUAUGAAGAAAUGCAAACUCAUGUAUUAACUACUCUUUGACUUUAGAUGUGGGAUUUUGACUUGUUUAUUAAAAAAACAUGUUGAAUGAAGUUAUGUUUCAUCUCUUAACUGGUCAAAUAGAAAAUACCUAAAAAGGAGACAGGUUGAAU